AAAGCUCAAAUUUGAAAUCCCCCCGGGGAGUUGUAAUUUGAAGAUUGCGUCUUGGAGGCGACCGUGUCUAUGUUCCUUGGAACAGGACGUCACAGAGGGUGAGAAUCCCGUGCGGCACGGCCCCCGGCUCCUUAUAAGGCGCUCUCGACGAGUCGAGUUGUUUGGGAAUGCAGCUCAAAGUGGGUGGUAAAUUCCAUCUAAAGCUAAAUACAGGCGAGAGACCGAUAGCGAACAAGUACAGUGAUGGAAAGAUGAAAAGCACUUUGAAAAGAGAGUGAAACAGCACGUGAAAUUGUUGAAAGGGAAGGGCAUGCCGUCAGAUUGUCAGUGUGGGUAAGAAGCGGGGUACAAAGACUGUGGAACGUGGCCCUCGGGUGUUAUAGCCGCAGUUCAUGCCCCGUCUCUUUCCGAGGCCUGCUUUGAGGACACCGACGUAAUGACGGUACGCCGCCCGUCUUGAACCACGGACCAUGCGUCGCCCUUUGUGGCGGGGCGGCCUUCUUUUUUUUUUUUUCUGGGUGCGCCG
Molecule: ribosomal RNA, 526 nt
Filed under: Sporobolomyces carnicolor
Lineage: Eukaryota; Fungi; Basidiomycota; Microbotryomycetes; Sporidiobolales; Sporidiobolaceae
Description: partial 26S rRNA
Rfam family: Eukaryotic large subunit ribosomal RNA (bases 1-467)
Source: RNAcentral